CAUCGCACUGCGCUGGUGUCCUGGCUGGCCUGGCACAAAACACCUGCGGGACUGAUGUGUCAGCUGGGGACUGCCAAGAACGGUGUCAAUCUCAGGCCUUUCAGUGCUCUGUCUCCCUUUCUGCUAAACAAAAGGGGAGAGGAAAGCAACGGCAGAAGGUUUCCGUUCGGUUAGUUUGUUUCGGUUUUGUUAAAAAACACGGGAGCGUAGCUUCUUUGAUAGAAACCUUGUUCUUUCUCAAGGGUUUGUGCCCUGCCCCCUUGCAAAGCUUCGAGUGAAAUACAGCCUGAUAUUUGCAUGUACGGUUCUUACAGUCGACGAUCAGAAAUCAGUCCAACAAAGGCACAUGCAACACACCAUUUCUUUUUCAAUGAAAAUAAUUCACUAGUGAAAUAUAUAAAAAUCCGUGUGUGAAAUAUUUGAAUACAAGAUGAAAGUAAGCGGAUUUUUUUGCUUAUCUGGUGUGAGAGAUGUAAAUGUACAAUGGUUUUGGCCUCUUCUCUGCACAUGAGAUCUAUUCUAUCUUAGGCUGCCAGCCUCAAGGGACUCUCUUUGAGUCUAUACACAAGGGAAAUCGGCAAAACACCUUCAAAAGAUAAUCCCAAGAGAUCAAACUCACAGCUUUACUGCAUACUAAAAACGUUGGUGUGGGUUUUAGAGCACAGUCUCAUCCAUUUUCCCCCCUCCUAACUUCUGAGUAUUACAUUAAUAAUCAUGAGCUGACCCUCCGUUCUGUGAGAAGGGAAGAGCUGCCAACCCGGCCUGUGCUCUUGCUGCUCCUCAGGUGCCAGCCAUCCUUUCUCCUCAGUGCUUCUGUGGCAUAUGUGAGGUGUAUCCAGGGCUGCCAUUUCUGCUCUGUUCAUAGAUUGGAAAGUGCUGUGCUCUUUCCAACCUUGAAGCAGCAGAUGCUUCUCUCCCCCUUCACAGAAAUGUCCACCAUCCUACUGGAAGCUGUUGCUUACCUUGUGCAAAAGCGAUGUUUGAUUAUCGCAAUUACACUAAAAUAAUUACUGGAAAUACAUCAAAAAACAAAAAAUAAUGUCAUGUUUGCCACCUUUGCCCGGACCUGAGCUUUUUUAUCUGGGUCAGUUUCUCAUCUCUUCUACUUAAUUCCAUCCAGAAUCAAAUGCUCAGAAGGUGUUUUAGGAACUCUCAAGUAGGUAAGUGGCCUUAUACAGUAGCACCCCAAAACAUGAAGUUUAAUGUCACCAGCCAUAACUGCCACAGACAGCAAGGCUGUUCACAUUUGAAUCAUCCCCCUUGAGUUGUGCUUUUAAGAACAUAGUGUGGCAACAUGUACUUCAUGUCACGGUCAGUUAGAGGGGGAGAAAUUUAAAAGAUCCUUUUUUAUUUAUUUUUUUUUCUUUAAAAGAAAAAAUCUGGACCAUUAAGGAGUUUCUCUCAAAUCUCUUGCAAAGUCAAUAAAUUCAGGACUCUUUAGCAAUCAAGUUUUCAUAGUUCCUAUUGAUUCCAAAUAACAGCAUGUAUAAAAUAGUCUUCUCUGUGGAAAGGGUAAAAUGCUGUGCAUACAGAUCCAGUGCACUGGUGAGGAAUGAACUACCUUGGUGUUCAUUGCUUGCAGCCACCAAGCAGUUCAAGGCCAAGGCUUGAGAUGCCUGCCAGGAGGAUCUCAUCCCUAUCCGUGGGUGUGAACAAGGUAACUGGAGCUGCUGAUGCUGUUUUCCCAGUCCAGACAAGUGCAUUUCCAUCUCAGUGGUAUGACAGGACAGCAGAGGAGCUGCUGCCAUUUCCAGCCUGUGAAAUUCUCCCAAAGAUUCUCAUCUUUAAAGUCUGCAGGCUCUUAAUUGAUGAGGAAGACUUUGGCAUGCAGCUCACAGCAUUAAGCAAAGUCAACUUUUCUUGAUUGGACAGUAAAGGAGAGCAUCAAACAAACUAACCAUACCAUAGCCUUUUGCUGGUUUAGCUUCCUGCCAGUUGCCAGCAUGUUUCACUGAUCUACCAUGCCACUCUGAACUUCAGUGGCACUUCCACAUUUUGGGAUACACUGGGUUUUUGGUUUUUUUUUUUUCCUCUGGCCAGUUCCCAGCUGUCUACUCCUGUCUCUGCAGCUCCAGACACAGAGGAGGCAGUUUGCCUGCUUAAUAGUGCAAGAUGUUUGCUGAUACAUAAAUGGCAGGCUGCUGAAGAGGAUAGAUGUAAAUGUCUGAGAACUUAUUCAGCCCAUCUGAUACUUUAAAUGAAGCGGAGGCCCUGGGGAGAAAAACUAAAGAAAAAGUGUAUGUGAUCAUGUAAUUAAAGACUGGAUCAUAAUGGAUAUGCACAGAAGGGUUGAAUUAAGGUUAUACUGGCAUCUCAGCUUCUAAUAUUUCCUAACUUUUAAGGAAUACAAUGCAACCUUUACAACAUUUCUUUCAUGUUCUUUUGGCAGGAUGUGUUUCUUGACAUUGGUUUGGAGAGAGCCUAGCACUUUGUGAGUUCUGUCAUAAUGGAAAUAAGCAAUAGAAAUACACUUUUAUCUGCGCCACACACACACAUACACACCCUGCAACUAUUGCAACAUGCUCUUUUCACAGCUUUUUCUGAAGGAAGCUGCUGAGUGUUCUCUAUGCCCUUUUCAGCCUUUGAAUAUGCAGUGGCAGCUGUAGUGACAUUAAGAUGCUGUUCCAGGAGACAGAUGUAACCCAGAGUCCGUAGCCAGCUCUGCAUGCCAUGCUGUUCCUCAGGGGACCCCAAGGCCUCCCACCUUGUUGUGUAAAGUUUUCAAGGAGACACUCCUCAAGCUACAGUGGUGAUAUGGGAGUCCUCCCUGGAAAAACUUUGGCUCCAUGGUUUGGUUGUAUCCAGAGACAGCAGCAGCCAGCCCCUCUCAUUACAGGGAGCUCAAGAGGGGAUGGAAAGACUCAGAGGGGCUAGGGCAGGCUGUCAGCAUUGGCCAUAACUAUGGUAUGUUCAUUCCAGGAAAUCCAUCUCAUGAUAGCCUAAAAUGAAAUUUUUGCAAAACUUUAGCAAAACAAAGCAAACUUUGCUUCACUUACUCCAUACAGAAAAAGAUUUGCACUAUGGGAGAUAAGCUUGAUUUCAAAGGGGAGGCUCACUGAGAAGAUAUUUCAUUGUGGCAUGAGCCUCAGGUCUGGCCAGGACAGAAACCAGAAUCUGGCCAGGACAGAUUCAACAGAAGACUUUUCCUAUGCUAUUCCUUUGACUUCAGCAAACAUGCAACAGCAUGCACAUGUAAGAGAUAAAAAGCAAAUUCAGAACAUAGUAUUCUGUUUUGCUUAUAAAGAUGAUUUUUUUUUUUUCCUGAGUGGGAUAGUAGCAGUGUGGCAGCACAUGCAACACUUGUUUUUAAUAAAGCAAUCAUAGUUUGGAUCCAGUAAAAACAAAAAUUUUAAAAAAUAAUAGAAACAGAUAAUUUGAAAGCUUGUCAGUAGGGAGAACUCUUCACAACAUAGCUAUACAUAAUCAUUAUUACCCAUUCAGAUUUUCUUUUUUAUAAAUUUAGGAAUUAAACAGGAUAGAAUAAUCUAGAUGACAUAAACAGUCAUUCAUUACAACCCUGAAUAGAAGCUGUUAACUUAUAUUAAAGUGAAAGUAGCUUGUAAGUGAAAAGAAUGAUUCAACCAUUUGCUGUUGUGCUCUGCAAUCAGAUGAUGUCAUCUCAAAUUCCAAAUUUUUACUUUUCCUGUAGUUUUUUAUAGUAAAGCUGGGAUAGGGGAGGGGAUCAUGAAGAGGUUUAUAGUUCUCUGCUUCUUAGAACUUUAUUUUUUCUGGCCUGCCAUGUAAUUUUAGGAAGAUCUGAAAUAGUUUCCAACACCCUUGUCUGUAGUGGCUGCAUUAUGGGCUCUUGCACUGCCUGGUGACUGCCGUAGCAGCCCGUGUUGGUCAGCACAAGGCUCUCAGUAACCCUAUGGUCAGGCAGAGGAAAAACCAGGAAGUUAUUAUGAUACCUUUAUUUCCUGACUUUAAGAAUUAAAACUUACUGUCUGUAGAUUUUAAGUGCAAAUUCCAUUCAAAUACAUAAAGAUUUUUAAGAAACCAAUAUGUUGGUCCUGCAAGUAUUUUUUUCCUUAGUAUUUGAACCUUGUGUAUUUUGAUUUAUAAUGUAGUUAAAAAUCUAGACAUAUUUUUAAAAUCUUUUAAUAAACAUCUGAGAAAAAUCUUUUUCAUUUCUUUUCCAAUGAUGUCCUGAAAAUUUCCCAAGCAGCUUUAUUAAGAUUCAUUAUUUGGAAAUCAAGCACACUUUUAAAUUGGUGGCUUCUUUAGAGCAGUUAUUAAGUAAUAGCAACAAAACCACCAAAGGUACCUGUCUCAAAAAUGCAUCAAAAUACCAAAACAUGGAGACAUUGUAAUGAUAACCCUGGAGAUUUUAGGCCAUAUCUUCAGAGAUUACAAAGGAUAUUACCUACUAUGCACUUACUAAAACAGAAAAAAACAGUAAAACAGUGAUUACAAUAUUUAGCUAGACAUAAGCACCUGCCUCACUACACUCCCAACAUCUCUCCACCAAAGUUGGACAUGUGGGGUUUUUGGCUUGUAAAUCAAGUGUCUCUGCAGGAGUUUCAUUUUUUUGCAGGUCUGGCUUUGGAGGUCAAGUUAUUUCAUUUUAACUGGUUUGGGUUUUUUUUGUCCUUUUAUUAUGGUCAGUCUAUCUAAAUCCUACAUAUCAAUGCAGUAAAUACUUUGGUGCAAGAACAGGCACUUAUGUUUUUCCCCUCAUUUUUUUCUAGCCAACACUUGCCAUAACUUAUUAUCUUUACCACUGUCAUUUGUAGUCAUGGCACUGCUCCUGUUACAGCUUUUUUUCUCCUUGCAACACUAUUAACUCAGGCAUUUUAAUCAGUCUCAAAAUUCUCAGGACAAAAUUAAUAUAAUUAGUUCUCUAGGAUAGAUUUGGCAGGGUAAAAGAAGCAUCACAUAGAGACUCUGUGUUAUUACCUUCCUUGGAGCACUGAGAGAUUUUCUGGAUAUUAUCAGGUGGGAAAAAAUUAAAAUCACAGCUACACAGUUCUUACUUGAUUGUGUGGCUUUAUAUACAGUGCUGUUCAAUUGCAUUUACAUGUGAACACUUCACUCAUGCCCACGUGAAAGUGUAGUCACUCAUCCCUUUAGCAGGUUUCUAGUGCGUGUCGCAUGCCGAAAAUUCAGCUGUUCGGCCGCUCCCCGUGUGACUUGAAUUCUUUCCCCAGAUGGGAUGAAGAACCCUGAACACUCAAUAACUUACUUUCCUGAAUUCAGUCAUGUGAGUAAUGUCCCUGGCAAUGAUGAGAUUAUCCUCAUAAUUGCGAAUGAACAGCAUUGUGAUUUUAGGCCCCAAAGUCCAAGACUUUGAAAGCCAGAGCUCCCACUGAUUUUGCUUCUUUCUUAGGCAUGUGCUGUAAACUGAGGAAUUUGCUUGGUCCUAUUCCUAUAAAUUCCUAUAAAUUACCUAUUCCAAACAAAAAACCAACCAAACAAACAAACAGAAAAAACAACUGAACCCCUCCCCCCCAAAAACCCAACCAACCAACCAAAAAAAAGUUCUUGUUUUUUAAUGGUACUAUUUUAGAGGAAACAAGAGUUAUCUGAUCAUUUAGACAAGGAUCCUUUAUAAGCAUGCUUGAUAACACUAGGAAAGCAGGGAGAGGAGCCUGAAUACAAGUAGAGAUAGUAAUCUAGUUAUUUCACCAAAAAAAGAAAGUUUUUUUCCUUCAUUUUUUUAAAGGAAAUCAGAAACAACUAACUAAAAUAGAAACAAAAAUCUUGACAGCACAAAUAUACACCUCUAUUAAAUUAGGCCAUCAGUUCUGACUUAGAUUAACCACAUGUCUUAAAUAGGCAUGUGAUGAAAAACAAGAAAAUCACAGUUUUUUAAUUAAAAAAAAGGGAAAAAAUAGAGAUGCAUAGCAUCUGUGAAUCAAAAAAUCCCAGUCUUUUGAUCUAUGUCUUUUCAUUUUCUGCUUCUAAUAGCACCUUCAGUGACCAUUUUUCCCCCUCAUGUUUGUCUCUGAUGCAUUUUCAGACACAGAGGAACAAAAGCUGCUUGAUACCCCUCUUACAAUAGCAAGGAGAUGUGCCUGGCUGUGUGGGAGGAGCCACUCAAUUCUUCAGUGUAGUGCUGGGUACACAUGCUUCAAGCAGCAUUAAGUGUUCCUGGGAGCAGGGAACAGAGUGUUCCAGCAGGAUCUAACAUACAGGCAAAGAUAGAAAGCCAUUUUCUUCACAACUAGCAGUGCAUUAAUACAUGAUCCCAAGCUUGCAAAGGACGAACUUACUGUUUCGGAACUUUUUCUUUUCUUUUUCACAUCUUAAUUCACUUUUAAAUUAU
Molecule: non-coding RNA, 6265 nt
Organism: Cyanistes caeruleus (blue tit)
Lineage: Eukaryota; Metazoa; Chordata; Aves; Passeriformes; Paridae
Source: RefSeq, a predicted model, not a curated record